Gossypium arboreum is the source of this 671-nucleotide long non-coding RNA. RefSeq lists it as uncharacterized. NCBI's taxonomy places the organism in Eukaryota, Viridiplantae, Streptophyta, Magnoliopsida, Malvales, Malvaceae. The transcript is spliced from 2 exons. The record is from RefSeq and is a predicted model, not a curated record.
CCCUAGUUGCAUUGAAAGAAAGAACCCUUAUAGCGAUGUAAAAUAAGCCAUCUCGAAAAAAGUUACCAACGAACAAUCUAACAAUUCCAGCAAAGGUAUCGCGAAAGAUACUAUCGCGAAUAUCUCAAUGGAAAUGCAAAAAUUUUGCAGUAAAGAACUUCGAUGAAACCUUAAAGAGUUGGGUUUUCAUUGCCACCAUGAUCAAUGCAAGAACAGAGCUUAACAGAGGAAUCAAUCCAAGCGACAACCUAAGUUUUCAUGUGACAAAAGGAGCUUCAAUUUUGAUCAAGAAAAGAAGGAAAAAAAGAAACCUUUCGGUUAAGAGACAUCUUGAGGGUAGCGGUAUUGCCGGCAAGAAUAAGCCAACAACGGAGAUAAAUUGAGAAGAAAUGGUCAAGGCCAUGCAGAGAGAGAGAGAGAUAGAUGAGUAGCAUUUAUUUAUAAUCUCCAGUUUAGUAUUAAAGGGAGAUGAUUCCUAUUGUGGGCCUUGUGCCCGGGAAAAUGCGAGAAAAUAAUAAGCUGUUUGCAUAGGUUGAAAUUUACUUGAAAAAUGUGAAAUCUCAACGAACACCAGUAGCAACGAACAAGCGAAAAAUCAACCUUAUUAUUGAUUUUAUUUCGACAUAAACACAACAUUAAACCUCACCCUUAGACCCAAUCAACAUUAAACC